GGGAAAGACGAUCAAGCCCCUUUGACUUGAAUAUACACAAGCAGGUCAACGCAGAGAAGUAUUAAUUCAGUAAACCAGCAUAAUCGGAGAAAAGGGUAAAAGAAAAAGAAAAACAAAGGGUGCCCCCAAAUUUGAUGGCUCACAUGAAGAAGUCUCACAUAUGGGUUCAUGGCCCAUUUAAAGCCGACGACAAUGUCUUAUCCUUCAUUAUUACUAGACUAGGAACCUGGACUCUGUCUGU
This is a long non-coding RNA of Arabidopsis thaliana (thale cress), 241 nucleotides long. RefSeq annotates it as other RNA. NCBI's taxonomy places the organism in Eukaryota, Viridiplantae, Streptophyta, Magnoliopsida, Brassicales, Brassicaceae. The record is from RefSeq. The transcript has a single exon.